AUGUUGCCGCCGCUUCUCUUGUUCUUCCCUCUAGCCCUCGUACUGCUACACUACUUGGUAAUCACUGGUAGAUCAGGACGAAGCAGCCAUGGCUGCCGUCUCCCACCUUCGCCACCAAGGUUGCCAGUCAUCGGGCACCUUCACCUCGUCGGCUUCCUCCCACACGUCAACCUCCGCAGGCUCGCCAUGAAGUACGGCCCGGACUACAUGCUCAUCCAACUUGGCUCCGUGCCGACCCUCGUCGUCUCAUCGCCACGUGCCGCCCAGACCGUCCUGCGCACACACGACCACGUGUUCGCUUCACGGCCCACGUCCACCGUCGCCGACACCCUAAUGACCGCCUCCCUUGACGUCGCAUUAGCCGUCUACGGCGAUCACUGGCGCCAAGCCAAGAGGCUGCUCUCCACACAUUUACUCACCGUCAAGAAGGUGAGCUCCUACCGCCCGGGCCGUGAGGAGGAAGCGCGCCUUGUCGUGGCCAACAUCGCUAAGGCGGCUGCGUCGCACGAGACCAUGGACAUGAGUGACAUGAUCUACUCUUUCACCAGCGACAUCGUGUGCCGCGCCGUGUCCGGCAACCUCUUCAAGGUCGACGGCCGGAACAGGCUCCUCCGUGAGCUCAUCGAGGCGUCCGGGGCGCUCAUCGGGGGUGUCAACAUCGAAGACUUCUACCCGGGGUUAGUGCGGGUGGGCUUCAUCAAGAGAGCUGUGUGUGCCAGGGCCGACAAGCUGAAAAAGAGAUGGGACGAGUUGCUGGACAAGGUGGUCGACGACCACCAAGAAAACACGGUGCAGCUACGGGAACCUGACUUCAUUGACAGUCUCCUCUCCUGUCAGCACGAACACGGUCUCACCAAGGAUCACAUCAAGGCCAUGCUCAUUGACAUAUUUUUCGGAGCAACUGACUCAACGUCCAUGCUUAUAGAGUCUGUCAUGGCAGAGCUCAUAAGGAACCCUCAAGUCAUGUCCAAGCUACAAGCCGAGUUGAGGAGCAAAAUCCCUGAAGGAAAAGAGAUAAUGACAGAAGAUGACCUCGCCACCAUGACCUACCUGAAGGCUGUCAUCAAAGAGACAUUCCGUCUGCAUCCACCGGCACCGCUCCUGGGGCCGCACCUCUCCAUGGACAAUGUGCAAAUCGAUGGCUACAUCGUUCCAGCCCACAUGCCUGUUCUUGUCAAUGCGUGGGCGAUUGGUAGGGACCCAAGUACUUGGGAGGACCCAGAGAAGUUCAUGCCGGAGAGGUUUCUCAACGUAGACAUUGAUUACAAGGGGAAUAACUUUGAACUCCUUCCAUUUGGUACUGGGAGAAGGAUGUGCCCAGCGAUAAACUUCUCAAUGUCAACGUAUGAGCUCAUGUUAGGGAACCUCCUAUAUCAUUUCGACUGGGAGCUGCCUGGCCCUAGGGCUGCUGGAGGCAUGGGUGUUGAUAUGACAGAGGUGUUUCGGCUUACGUUGCAUCGCAAGGAGAAGCUCCUACUAAUCCCACGAACACGUACAUAG
This 1500-nucleotide ribosomal RNA is filed under the name Triticum aestivum (bread wheat). RNAcentral's name for it is "partial small subunit ribosomal RNA". The record is from RNAcentral. Lineage: Eukaryota; Viridiplantae; Streptophyta; Magnoliopsida; Poales; Poaceae.